UUAUCAUACCCUAUAGCACACCCUUUAUCACACCCCUACCCAUUAUCGCACCCUUUAUCACACACCUACUUUUUUUUUAUACAUAGUUUUUAUUUAUGUAAGCUUCAAAUAUUUUCCCCCAGAGUAUGUCCAAAAUGAACGGUCAUUCGGGCGUGAUGCAAUUUAUUGAAUGACGUCAUUGUAUGGAAUGUGACAUCACAAACGUCAAGUUUUCAUAUUUCUGACAAACGAAAUGCAGCUAUAAAAAAAAACUCAAUGAAAUACCAUAUAAAACACACAAAAAAUACAAUAAACAAAAUAUCCUUAAAAACUAUGUAAUUGUUUUCACUUGAGUGGUCUCAGAUGCUGAAUAAUGCAUUUAUAAUAUAUAAACAAAACCAAUAAAUAAAACUG
RNAcentral lists this long non-coding RNA (393 nucleotides) under Mytilus galloprovincialis (Mediterranean mussel). Lineage: Eukaryota; Metazoa; Mollusca; Bivalvia; Mytilida; Mytilidae. The record is from RNAcentral.